AUGCUAACAGGAGGCCAGGGAAAGCCGCUGCGUGCCCGGUGCUGGCUGACUCUAAUUGAGUUUUCGGACAUCUGCUCUCAGGCUCUCGGAGAUAAUGGGGAAUUCUGCUUAGAGAUGGAGCCACACAAGAAGGGGAAGGUAAGGCAGAAUCUCUGUAACCGGAUGACCCCAUUAAAGGAUUCUGGAGAACUACAAACACGGCAUCCCCCGCCCCCAAACACCACUGGACCGGAGGCCAGCAAGACACAUCACAGAGUUACUCCUCUAACAAACAUAUAAACAGAAUAGCCACCCUGAGAAGAAGAUUCUGUUUAUUGUGCUGAAUCAGACACUGUGCCUUCUGGUUGAAGCUGACCUUGUCAGUGAGUUGCCUGUCAUCCCCUCAGACCCCUCUACCACAUUGGCCAAGACAUACCUUCCGGUUUGUGUCCACUCUCCACAGCCAGCAUCUGUGUCACUCAUCCAAGGGCUGUUCUCAGGUGCCCACUUUGCCCGCUUUGUAAGUCAGGAGACUCGGAUGUGAUGGGUCUCUCACCUCAGGUAGCCCUUAAGCAGUAACAGGCAGGUGCGAGGGUGUCAGUACUCUCGCUCCCUUGGUGCUCGUGGAAACCACUCCAAUGGGUAAACUAUGUGAUCUUCAGUGCUUCCCUGCAAGGCUGAGCCAAAGUUACUGCUGUGGUUUUAAAAUAUGUCCAUAAAUUCUUUGACACUCCUCCCUUCAAAACAUGGAGCCCAAUUCCCUUUCCCUUAAAUGCAGGCCAGACAGUGACUUGCUUCCAAAGAAUAGAAGAUGAGGGAAGUUAUGCUAGGUGACAUCCAAGGCUGAGUCAUAAAAGGCCUGGCUCCUGCCUGGCUCUCUCUCUUGGACUCUGCACUCGGGAGACACCCACGUCGUGAGGACAGUUAGGCAGUUUGGGAGGGCCCCUGUGGAGAGGAACUGAGGCCUCCCACCACCAGCCAGCACCCACUCACCAGCCAUGUGAGUCAGCUGCCUCACAAGGCAUCCUCCCACCCCAGACGAACCUUCAAGGGAUGCAGCCCCUGAGGACAUCGUGCUCGCAAGCACGUGAGAGACCCUGAGCCAGCGCUGCCUGGCCAUGCCUCUCCUGACAUCCUGACCCACUUAAAUUCUGAGGGAAUAUAAAUGUAUAUUUGAGGCAAUUUGUUACACAGAAAUAUAGAAAGGAUAGGGUUUCUCUCCAGGGGCCUUUGGUCAACACUGUGCCCUUGCUAGUCUCUUACCCCUCUAAUUGUGCUUUCCUGUCCCCUGUAGGUUUUCCCUGGGAGCAUGUCCUAAUAAAUCUCUUUCACAAGAAUCCUCCUCUCA
RNAcentral lists this long non-coding RNA (1327 nucleotides) under Felis catus (domestic cat). RNAcentral's name for it is "lncRNA (ENSFCAG00000050215.1)". The record is from RNAcentral. Lineage: Eukaryota; Metazoa; Chordata; Mammalia; Carnivora; Felidae.